AGGCAGCAGUGGGGAAUAUUGCACAAUGGGCGCAAGCCUGAUGCAGCCAUGCCGCGUGUGUGAAGAAGGCCUUCGGGUUGUAAAGCACUUUCAGUCGUGAGGAAGGUAGUGUAGUUAAUAGCUGCAUUAUUUGACGUUAGCGACAGAAGAAGCACCGGCUAACUCCGUGCCAGCAGCCGCGGUAAUACGGAGGGUGCGAGCGUUAAUCGGAAUUACUGGGCGUAAAGCGCAUGCAGGUGGUUUGUUAAGUCAGAUGUGAAAGCCCGGGGCUCAACCUCGGAAUUGCAUUUGAAACUGGCAGACUAGAGUACUGUAGAGGGGGUAGAAUUUCAGGUGUAGCGGUGAAAUGCGUAGAGAUCUGAAGGAAUACCGGUGGCGAAGGCGGCCCCCUGGACAGAUACUGACACUCAGAUGCGAAAGCGUGGGGAGCAAACAGGAUUAGAUACCCUGGUAG
Molecule: ribosomal RNA, 454 nt
Filed under: uncultured bacterium
Lineage: Bacteria
Description: bacterial SSU rRNA
Rfam family: Bacterial small subunit ribosomal RNA
Source: RNAcentral